Molecule: ribosomal RNA, 234 nt
Filed under: uncultured bacterium
Lineage: Bacteria
Description: partial 16S ribosomal RNA
Rfam family: Bacterial small subunit ribosomal RNA
Source: RNAcentral
GUCCGGAAGUAUUGGGCGUAAAGAGCUCGUAGGCGGUCUGUCGCGUCGGCUGUGAAAUCCCGAGGCUCAACCUCGGGUCUGCAGUCGAUACGGGCAAACUAGAGUAUUGCAGGGGAGACUGGAAUUCCUGGUGUAGCGGUGAAAUGCGCAGAUAUCAGGAGGAACACCGGUGGCGAAGGCGGGUCUCUGGGCAAUAACUGACGCUGAGGAGCGAAAGCGUGGGGAGCGAACAGG